CGUCAUCUGCUGCCUGGGAUCGAAGGCAGGGAGCCUCCUGGAGCGUCGCGGGCAGCUUCAGCCUCGCAGGGCGGCUGCGCUGAGCGGGGCAGCGGCUCCGGGUGCCGAGGGGGAGAUGCCGGGGGGCCGCGUCCUCUUCCUGGGGGCGAGGAGCAAAACCGGACUGAAGAGAGAGGGGCAGCUCGGAGCAACCGGGUGGAGAGCCCGGGAAGGCGGCAGGAGGGGGCUUUGGAGGCAGGGGCAGCUCCRGCCGCUCGGCCCAGGCCCUGCAUCACGGCCGCCGGCAUUUCCAGCUGCGUUCGUGCCCCCGCGGAGCUCACGCCGUUAAAUGCCUCGGCCUCUGGCCCGGACGCAGCUGCGGGUGCUUGUGCUCGCAAAUGUCUUCAGCUUGCUAAAACCCGGCCGGCUGGUGUAUUUAACGGGAAAAGCCGAGAGCUGCUCCAGGAGGGGAGCUCGCAGGAACUGCCAUCGCGGGGAAAUCCCGGUGCCGGGGGGGGGGGCCGGGAUCUCUCCGCUCGGCCACCGGCGCUUCGUGCUCCCGCAGAGCUCCGCAGUGGCAGCGUGGUCCCGGGGCCGUGCCGGCUGCRAGGGCAGCGCAGCGGCGGGGGCCUACGGGGAAACCGGCUCGUGCUCGAUUCCUGCCAAGCCCGGCCGCAGCGUGGCUCCCUCCCGGGAGGAGCCGGCAGAGGCGGGGGGACCCCGGGCCCCUCGCGGGGACACUGCACUUUCCGAAAUGCCGGAGUUGCAAACCUCGGCAUCCCAAUGGCCCUGGCAGUGCUGGGCUUCACUGAAGCAGGAAUUGCAGCUGGCUGCGGCGGGGAGCCGGGGUUGGGCGUGCGGGGGGCCGGGAGCAGGGCUGACUUCUCGCCCUCCUCCUCCUCCUCCUCCUCCUCCACAGGGGCCACGGGCGCUCUGGAGCCGCGCAGGCUGCUGCGUCGGCUCUUGGGGCCGUCAUCGGCUCCCUGCUGGGAUCCCCGUCCACGCUGGGACCACCUGGAUCCCCGCCGUGAUCCCCCUGGAUCUCUGCUGUGCCCCCCCCCCCACGCUGACCCCAUCCCCUCCAGGACCCCCCCGGAUCCUGCCGGGACCCCCCAGCUCAGCCCCUUCCCGCUGUGCCCAAACCCCAAAUAA
Molecule: long non-coding RNA, 1131 nt
Filed under: Apteryx haastii (Great spotted kiwi)
Lineage: Eukaryota; Metazoa; Chordata; Aves; Apterygiformes; Apterygidae
Description: lncRNA (ENSAHAG00000017857.1)
Source: RNAcentral